UUGUGGAGGAGGACGCCGAAGGUGGGGCUAAUGACUGGGGUGAAGUCGUAACAAGGUAGCCGUACCGGAAGGUGCGGCUGGAUCACCUCCUAACAGGGAGACAACAAAAUGUUAAAUAUUAUUAUUUUGUCACCUUAGGUCGAUCGGUAUCUCACAUUCUUGAUUUUCAAGAAUUUCUUUUCCUAAGUUUUUCUAGGUCACACCCAUUAUUUUUCCUGGGCCAUUAGCUCAGGUGGUUAGAGCGCACCCCUGAUAAGGGUGAGGUCCCUGGUUCAAGUCCAGGAUGGCCCAUAUCUCUAUGUUGGGGGUAUAGCUCAGUUGGUAGAGCGCCUGCUUUGCAAGCAGGAUGUCAGCGGUUCGAGUCCGCUUACCUCCACUGAUUACCACCUCUUCCAUAUUCUUAGAAAGGAAAAUUUUGAGUUGUGAUCAAUUUCUGAACGAAUCUAGCUUCCUAAUGUAACCAUUAAGAUGCUGGACUCAUUGAAUUAAUUUCAUUGUUUUCAGAGAACCUUGACAACUGCAUAGAUUAUUUUUUUAAAGACAAUAAGCAUCUUUAAUGAUGCAGAUUUAUUAUUUGUGCUAAUGCAUUAAUAACAAUUCUAUUAAGCUGAUGCUUCAAUUUUGAAGUUAUUGGUCAAGCUACAA
RNAcentral lists this unclassified non-coding RNA (645 nucleotides) under uncultured Prochlorococcus sp. RNAcentral describes it as "partial 16S-23S ribosomal RNA intergenic spacer; may also contain 16S ribosomal RNA and 23S ribosomal RNA". The stretch from base 304 to 376 matches the Rfam family "tRNA". Lineage: Bacteria; Bacillati; Cyanobacteriota; Cyanophyceae; Synechococcales; Prochlorococcaceae. The record is from RNAcentral.